Molecule: ribosomal RNA, 500 nt
Filed under: uncultured Glomeromycotina
Lineage: Eukaryota; Fungi; Glomeromycota
Description: partial small subunit ribosomal RNA
Rfam family: Eukaryotic small subunit ribosomal RNA
Source: RNAcentral
CCAAUAGCGUAUAUUAAAGUUGUUGCAGUUAAAAAGCUCGUAGUUGAAUUUCGGGAUCAUCGGGUCGGUCGUGCCUCUGGUAUGUACUUGCUCCGAUGGCCCCUCCUUCUUGAAGAACCGUAAUGCCAUUAAUUUGGUGUUGCGGGGAAACAGGACUGUUACUUUGAAAAAAUUAGAGUGUUUAAAGCAGGCAAUCGCUUGAAUACAUUAGCAUGGAAUAAUGAAAUAGGACGUUCGAUCCUAUUUUGUUGGUUUCUAGGAUUGACGUAAUGAUUAAUAGGGAUAGUUGGGGGCAUUAGUAUUCAAUUGUCAGAGGUGAAAUUCUUGGAUUUAUUGAAGACUGACUACUGCGAAAGCAUUUGCCAAGGAUGUUUUCAUUAAUCAAGAACGAAAGUUAGGGGAUCGAAGACGAUCAGAUACCGUCGUAGUCUUAACCAUAAACUAUGCCGACUAGGGAUCGGAUGAUGUUAAUUUUUCAAUGACUCAUUCGGCGCCUUACG